UACGGAGGGUGCAAGCGUUAUCCGGAUUCACUGGGUUUAAAGGGUGCGUAGGCGGGUAUAUAAGUCAGUGGUGAAGGCUCCGAGCUUAACUUGGAAACUGCCAUUGAUACUGUAUAUCUUGAAUGUCGUUGAGGUUAGCGGAAUGUUGCAUGUAGCGGUGAAAUGCUUAGAUAUGUUACAGAACACCAAUUGUGAAGACAGCUAACUAAGCGAUGAUUGACGCUGAGGCACGAAAGCGUGGGGAGCAAACAGG
RNAcentral lists this ribosomal RNA (253 nucleotides) under uncultured bacterium. RNAcentral describes it as "partial 16S ribosomal RNA". It matches the Rfam family "Bacterial small subunit ribosomal RNA", at positions 524 to 776 of the family's 1533-position model. The record is from RNAcentral.